Cololabis saira (Pacific saury) is the source of this 502-nucleotide long non-coding RNA. RefSeq lists it as uncharacterized. The transcript has 3 exons. Lineage: Eukaryota; Metazoa; Chordata; Actinopteri; Beloniformes; Belonidae. The record is from RefSeq and is a predicted model, not a curated record.
GUUCCCUCGAAAUAAUUAUUUCGUUCCCUCGAUUUAGGAUAUCGAGCGAACGAAUUAAGUAUUUCGUUCCCUCGAAAUAAUCAUAUUAGAAAUCGAAAUACAAUUUCGUGAUUAAAGUCUAAAUCUCUGGCCCAUCAAAGCCAGUGAGGAGAGACGGACAUGCAGCUGUUUUAUAAUAGAUCCAUGCAGCAGCAGCAGCAGCAGCAGCAGCAGCAGCACCGGUACCAGCUACAACAUCUUGGAGUGGAAGGGGCCGUCUAUGUGCUGGAGUUAACAGUGGCUGCAACGCUCUGACAUCCACGUUGACAUUAUACAGCAAUCUUACACAACCACACAGAUUCUUUUGCCGGAGUCCGAAGUUUCAUCUAUGGACGCAGCACCACAAACCAGCGGAUUGAAUCGUGGUGGGGGAUCCUGAGGAAACAAAGUGCACAGUUUUGGAUCAACGUUUUCCAAACCCUCUAAGAUGACGGCUACUUCUCUGGUGAUUUCUUGGAUAGGA